Molecule: ribosomal RNA, 374 nt
Filed under: Acanthurus pyroferus (chocolate surgeonfish)
Lineage: Eukaryota; Metazoa; Chordata; Actinopteri; Acanthuriformes; Acanthuridae
Description: partial 12S ribosomal RNA
Rfam family: Bacterial small subunit ribosomal RNA
Source: RNAcentral
CAUUGAUAAUAACUUACAAUUAUUACCCGCCUGGGAACUACGAGCACCAGCUUAAAACCCAAAGGACUUGGCGGUGCUUUAGACCCACCUAGAGGAGCCUGUUCUAGAACCGAUAACCCCCGUUCAACCUCACCCUUCCUUGUUCUUCCCGCCUAUAUACCACCGUCGUCAGCUUACCCUGUGAAGGAAUAAUAGUAAGCAAAACUGGCAAAGCCCAAAACGUCAGGUCGAGGUGUAGCGUAUGGAAGGGGAAGAAAUGGGCUACAUUCACUAACUCAGUGUACACGAAUGACACCCUGAAACACGUGUCUGAAGGAGGAUUUAGCAGUAAGAAGAAAAUAGAGUGUUCUACUGAAACUGGCCCUGAAGCGCGC